RNAcentral lists this microRNA precursor (78 nucleotides) under Anopheles darlingi. Its description in RNAcentral is "mir-1 microRNA precursor family". It matches the Rfam family "mir-1 microRNA precursor family". Rfam says of the family: This family represents the microRNA (miRNA) mir-1 family. miRNAs are transcribed as ~70nt precursors (modelled here) and subsequently processed by the Dicer enzyme to give a ~22nt product. Lineage: Eukaryota; Metazoa; Arthropoda; Insecta; Diptera; Culicidae. The record is from Rfam by way of RNAcentral.
UAGAAAGUUCCAUGCUUCCUUGCAUUCAAUAUUGCCUUUAAAUAUGAUAUGGAAUGUAAAGAAGUAUGGAGCGUUCGG